This 253-nucleotide ribosomal RNA is filed under the name uncultured bacterium. Its description in RNAcentral is "partial 16S ribosomal RNA". It matches the Rfam family "Bacterial small subunit ribosomal RNA", at positions 524 to 776 of the family's 1533-position model. The record is from RNAcentral.
UACAGAGGGGGCAAGCGUUAUUCGGAAUUAUUGGGCGUAAAGGGCGCGUAGGCGGCCUGGCAAGUGGAAGGUGAAAUCCCUCGGCUUAACCGAGGAACUGCCCUCCAAACUGCUUGGCUUGAGUCCGGGAGAGGUGAGUGGAAUUCCCAGUGUAGCGGUGAAAUGCGUAGAUAUUGAGAGGAACACCAGUGGCGAAGGCGGCUCACUGGACCGGAACUGACGCUGAGGCGCGAAAGCGUGGGGAGCGAACAGG